RNAcentral lists this ribosomal RNA (465 nucleotides) under uncultured bacterium. RNAcentral's name for it is "partial 16S ribosomal RNA". It matches the Rfam family "Bacterial small subunit ribosomal RNA", at positions 339 to 795 of the family's 1533-position model. The record is from RNAcentral.
CUACGGGGCGCUGCAGUGGGGAAUAUUGGACAAUGGGGGAAACCCUGAUCCAGCAAUGCCGCGUGUGUGAAGAAGGCCUGCGGGUUGUAAAGCACUUUCGGUUGGGAGGACUGCUUCUAGCACUAAUAUUGUUGGAAGUUGACGUUACCUUCAGAAGAAGCACCGGCUAACUCCGUGCCAGCAGCCGGCGGUAAUACGGAGGGUGCAGCGUUAAUCGGAAUUACUGGGCGUAAAGCGCGCGUAGGCGGCUAGAUCAGUCGGGUGUGAAAGCCCCGGGCUUAACCUGGGAACUGCAUCCGAUACUGUCUAGAUUGAGUACAGGAGAGGAGAGUGGAAUUCCACAUGUAGCGGUGAAAUGCGUAGAUAUGUGGAGGAACACCAAUGGCGAAGGCAGCUCUCUGGCCUGAUACUGACGCUGAGGUGCGAAAGCGUGGGGAGCAAACAGGAUUAGAUACCCUAGUAGUC